Molecule: long non-coding RNA, 598 nt
Filed under: Zea mays
Lineage: Eukaryota; Viridiplantae; Streptophyta; Magnoliopsida; Poales; Poaceae
Description: drought-responsive long non-coding RNA
Source: RNAcentral
ACAUUUGGAUCUUGAUCUAUAAUCAUCCCUACCCCGCCUACGACGUCGGGGUGGUGGUGCCUGGGAAGGAGAGGAACAUAGAGCGAGGUGCUUGAUCUGGCUAAGCGAGGAGGUCGGCGGCGGGGAAGGUGCUUGAUCUGACCAGCAAGGAGCGUAUGGAAUUCAAACGAAGCCCUCCAAAACGAUAGCACUAUUCCAAAUUUCUGGAAGGAAUAGGUGAUGGCCGAGUGGGAGCUCGAGGUCAAAGAGCUCAACGCCUCCGUGCAAAGCCGAGAGACCCUACUCCAGCUCGAUCAGACCGCUCCUGCGCGCCCGGCUUGAGUGGGAGGACAACUUGAGGGCUUGUUCGGUUUGAGGUGGUUUGAGGAAAAUUGGAGGGUAUUUAAUCUCCUCAGCAUGGUGAGCUAAUCUAUUGUCGGCAUGGAUGUAGUCACUCCACUUCAGAAAAGAGUCAGUUGCAUGGCUCCUGGCGAACAUUGGACAUGUUUAUUUUGUUACCUUUGCUGUUACAAAUUUGGCACUCAUUUAUUUUGAGCGUUGCGUGGUCAAAGAAAGAAGGUUGUUUAUUUGAGUGGCAUGAAUAAAAAAGUCUUAUUAA